UGGUACCCACAGAAGAAGUCCUGGCUAACUCCGUGCCAGCAGCCGCGGUAAUACGGAGAGGGCUAGCGUUAUUCGGAAUUAUUGGGCGUAAAGAGCGCGUAGGCUGGUUAGUAAGUUAAAAGUGAAAUCCCAAAGCUCAACUUUGGAAUUGCUUUUAAAACUGCUAACCUAGAGAUUGAAAGAGGAUAGAGGAAUUCCUAGUGUAGAGGUGAAAUUCGUAAAUAUUAGGAGGAACACCAGUGGCGAAGGCGUCUAUCUGGUUCAAAUCUGACGCUGAGGCGCGAAGGCGUGGGGAGCAAACAGGAUUAGAUACCCUGGUAGUCCACGCUGUAAACGAUGAGUGCUA
RNAcentral lists this ribosomal RNA (346 nucleotides) under uncultured Wolbachia sp. Its description in RNAcentral is "bacterial SSU rRNA". It matches the Rfam family "Bacterial small subunit ribosomal RNA", at positions 473 to 818 of the family's 1533-position model. Lineage: Bacteria; Pseudomonadati; Pseudomonadota; Alphaproteobacteria; Rickettsiales; Anaplasmataceae. The record is from RNAcentral.